AGUCGACGUGAAAGUCCUUCGGGACGAGUAAAGUGGCGCACGGGUGAGUAACGCGUGGAUAAUCUACCCUUAAGAUGGGGAUAACGGCUGGAAACGGUCGCUAAUACCGAAUACGCUCCCGAUUUUAUCAUUGGGGGGAAAGAUGGCCUCUGCUUGCAAGCUAUCGCUUAAGGAUGAGUCCGCGUCCCAUUAGCUAGUUGGCGGGGUAACGGCCCACCAAGGCAACGAUGGGUAGCCGGUCUGAGAGGAUGACCGGCCACACUGGAACUGGAACACGGUCCAGACUCCUACGGGAGGCAGCAGUGGGGAAUAUUGCGCAAUGGGCGAAAGCCUGACGCAGCGACGCCGCGUGAGGGAUGAAGGUUCUCGGAUCGUAAACCUCUGUCAGGGGGGAAGAAACCCCCUCGUGUGAAUAAUGCGAGGGCUUGACGGUACCCCCAAAGGAAGCACCGGCUAACUCCGUGCCAGCAGCCGCGGUAAUACGGAGGGUGCAAGCGUUAAUCGGAAUCACUGGGCGUAAAGCGCACGUAGGCGGCUUGGUAAGUCAGGGGUGAAAUCCCACAGCCCAACUGUGGAACUGCCUUUGAUACUGCCAGGCUUGAGUACCGGAGAGGGUGGCGGAAUUCCAGGUGUAGGAGUGAAAUCCGUAGAUAUCUGGAGGAACACCGGUGGCGAAGGCGGCCACCUGGACGGUAACUGACGCUGAGGUGCGAAAGCGUGGGUAGCAAACAGGAUUAGAUACCCUGGUAGUCCACGCUGUAAACGAUGGGUGCUGGGUGCUGG
This 783-nucleotide ribosomal RNA is filed under the name uncultured bacterium. RNAcentral's name for it is "bacterial SSU rRNA". It matches the Rfam family "Bacterial small subunit ribosomal RNA", at positions 60 to 826 of the family's 1533-position model. The record is from RNAcentral.